GAUUGUUUGUGAUGAGAAAGUGUCCCGGAGACACAAAUAGCAAUAAACCCAGCUCUUCGAUUUAUUAAAAUGAGAAGGAAUCUGUCAAACGCUCUGAGAUUUAAACAGUC
This 110-nucleotide small nucleolar RNA is filed under the name Zygosaccharomyces rouxii. Lineage: Eukaryota; Fungi; Ascomycota; Saccharomycetes; Saccharomycetales; Saccharomycetaceae. The record is from RNAcentral.